GAUGAACGCUGGCGGCGUGCUUAACACAUGCAAGUCGAACGGAAAGGCCCAAGCUUGCUUGGGUACUCGAGUGGCGAACGGGUGAGUAACACGUGGGUGAUCUGCCCUGCACUUCGGGAUAAGCCUGGGAAACUGGGUCUAAUACCGGAUAGGACCACUUCUUGGAUGUUGUGGUGGAAAGUUUUUCGGUGUGGGAUGAGCUCGCGGCCUAUCAGCUUGUUGGUGGGGUAAUGGCCUACCAAGGCGUCGACGGGUAGCCGGCCUGAGAGGGUGUACGGCCACAUUGGGACUGAGAUACGGCCCAGACUCCUACGGGAGGCAGCAGUGGGGAAUAUUGCACAAUGGGCGCAAGCCUGAUGCAGCGACGCCGCGUGGGGAUGACGGCCUUCGGGUUGUAAACUCCUUUCGCUAGGGACGAAGCUUAUUUUGUGACGGUACCUGGAGGAGAAGCACCGGCUAACUACGUG
This 467-nucleotide ribosomal RNA is filed under the name uncultured bacterium. RNAcentral's name for it is "partial 16S ribosomal RNA". It matches the Rfam family "Bacterial small subunit ribosomal RNA", at positions 28 to 507 of the family's 1533-position model. The record is from RNAcentral.